Molecule: ribosomal RNA, 337 nt
Filed under: uncultured Sphingobacteriales bacterium
Lineage: Bacteria; Pseudomonadati; Bacteroidota; Sphingobacteriia; Sphingobacteriales
Description: bacterial SSU rRNA
Rfam family: Bacterial small subunit ribosomal RNA
Source: RNAcentral
UGGUUGUCGUCAGCUCGUGCCGUGAGGUGUCGGGUUAAGUCCCAUAACGAGCGCAACCCUUAUCGUUAGUUGCCAGCUGGUAAAGCAGGGGACUCUAGCGAAACUGCCACCGUAAGGUGAGAGGAAGGUGGGAUGACGUCAAAUCAGCACGGCCCUUAUGUCCAGGGCUACACACGUGUUACAAUGGCCGGCACAGAGGGCAGCUACCUGGUGACAGGAUGCUAAUCUCGAAAAACCGGUCUCAGUUCGGAUCGAAGUCUGCAACUCGACUUCGUGAAGCUGGAUUCGCUAGUAAUCGCGCAUCAGCUAUGGCGCGGUGAAUACGUUCCCGGGCCUU